CCUCACCCCCCCGUGCAUGGACCGGAUCCCAAUCGCACCUUUUAAAGUGUUACAUUAAAAAAACAUUAGCAGGAGAAACAAGUCCUCAAACCCUGGACCCUCAGAGACUCAAUGACGUCACCUAGUAGGUGGUCCAGCGUGAGAGUCUGUGAGGGAACGGAAUGGUGUAAAUACGAAUGGGACAACACUGCAACUGAUCACGUUACCAUGACAACGCGGCCGGCUCGAGUCCCCGCAGCCCGGGCCUGCGGUCUACGUUAGGAGGGGAGGCCGUGGCCCUCAGCUGGGAGGAGGCCUGCUGAAGCAGUCAUUAUUAAUUGUGAUAAAAAAAAAGACUAAAACUAAUUAAAAAUGAAAGCUUUUGGUUUGAAACAAACACAGAUUAAAUAAUUCUCAGACAAACGC
Molecule: long non-coding RNA, 405 nt
Organism: Gasterosteus aculeatus aculeatus (three-spined stickleback)
Lineage: Eukaryota; Metazoa; Chordata; Actinopteri; Perciformes; Gasterosteidae
Source: Ensembl